GAAUGGAGCGGCCGAUGUCUGAUUAUGUAGUUGGGGGGGUAAAGGCUCACCAAGCCGACGAUCUGUAGCUGGUCUGAGAGGACGACCCCCCACACUGGGACUGAGACACGGUCCCCACUCCUACGGGAGGCAGCAGUGGGGAAUUUUGGACAAUGGGCGCAAGCCUGAUCCCCCCAUUCCGCGUGCGGGAUGAAGGCCUUCGGGUUGUAAACUGCUUUUGUACGGAACGAAAAGGU
This 236-nucleotide ribosomal RNA is filed under the name uncultured bacterium. RNAcentral's name for it is "partial 16S ribosomal RNA". It matches the Rfam family "Bacterial small subunit ribosomal RNA", at positions 219 to 454 of the family's 1533-position model. The record is from RNAcentral.